This is a long non-coding RNA of Ictalurus punctatus (channel catfish), 2056 nucleotides long. The record is from Ensembl. NCBI's taxonomy places the organism in Eukaryota, Metazoa, Chordata, Actinopteri, Siluriformes, Ictaluridae.
UUAGUUUCCAGGGACGUCAUGUUAUAUUCUUUUAGUCUGAGCUGUAUCUUGCAUAAUGAGCCGCCAAGCUUUUUGUUUGUUUGUUUAAGUACAAAUAUGGGCACUGUAUAAAGGCAUUAUUUAUUUUGUUAUAAAAAAUAUAUAUAUAUGAAAAUUGGUCCAAAUACAGUAAUAUACAUAGCACUGAUGCUCAACUGAUGGAAUUUAUUUUAUAUGCUCUCCUUUUCCCAUUAUACUUGUACUGCUUUUUUGUAGAUGCUUUGUACCAAAAAUAUUCCUUUCACCUUUUGGUUUGCCACUGAGCUAUUUCAGCUAUUUUUAAAUUAAUAUUUAAACGGCAGAAGUACCCUGGACUGCUUAGGCAUGUUGUCACAAAAAUAGGCACAUACUCGGAAGACUCUGCAUUUCUUCACGUCUAGUUUCUCUCACAUGGCUUUUUGGUCUGCCAAAUGGAUUUCUUUUAUUAAAAAGUACUCAUGCUUGACUUAUUACAAUUGUUUCAUAUGCAGUGACAAUAAUUGAAGCAGUUUUGUUCUAAAGGAAAUGGUGAUGUUGUCAUUAUUGCCAUUUUUGAGUAUCAUUCAAGUAUAAAUAUAUAUUCAGCAUAGGUAUAGGUGUUAAAUGACCACUACAUAUAUCAGCUUUGAGUGGUGUUUAGAAGCCAGUGUCUGGAUGGCGAUGUAAUGUUCUUUGACACCAAUCUGUAACUGCGUGAAUCUUAGUCACAGAUGUGUGUAAAGGGCAGUUUCUAUUAAUGCAGUUAGCCAGUGACAGCUGAAGUGCUCAUCCGCUUGGUGUUCACUGAAGGGCACUGAGGUGAUGCUUAUCCAACAUAACAGUGGCCACUCACAAGGGACCCACUUCCCUUCUCUUUCUCCAUACCAUACAUCUGGCUUUUGGUAGGACUGGUUACUUCUUUCUUGUGACAAUAAUAUAAAAAAAAAAAAAAAAAAAAAAAAAAUCUUCAAUCAUUGUUAAAGGGCUACCUUAAUAAACCAUCUUUAAGGCAGGUUUAAAACUCAGGUAGAAAACAAAAGUUUAUGAAAGACAGAAUUGAGUCAGAAUGUGUUGAUUUGGAACUAUGAAUAAUUAACAAACAAUUUUCUUUAUAAAAUGUUCACCACACUUUGGGAUGGAGUAAAAUGAGCCAGUAAUGCUAUUGAAUCCAUUGAACAUCAUGUAAUAUCAUAACCUGAUAAAUUAACAUACAUACAUUCCUUCCUGUCUAUGUAUCCUUAUCAGUUGUUUAAUUAAACAGUGCAAUUAUUAUUAUUAUUAUUAUUAUUAUUAUUAUUAUUAUUAUUAUUAUUAUUUUCCUACUUCCUGUGAGGACUGCAUCCACUCUUUUUUUGAACAGAUUUCUAUGUGAACAUGAAGGUAAAACAUAAUCUGCAUGGAAUAUGGAGGGAUCUUUUUCCUGUCCAUGCAAACAUACUAGUAUCAGUAGCCCGAUCAGCCUGUGUGUACGUUUAUUGACUUAACCUCUGCACGCUAGAACGUCCAAAAUGCACAUUUCAUGUACUUUCAUUUUUACUAUCAAUAAAGAAAACAUUUUAUGAAAUACAUUUUGCUUAUGAAGACAUUUGUAUAUGUGUGCAUUUUGGUGUAUGCAUUCCUGUUCUCUUUUGGUAGACCCAAGAUUACUUGGAAUACUGUUACACCAGAUACCGUAGUCUAUUGUAACCAUCCUUUGCAACCCAUUUGCUGGGUUAAACGUAACAACCCAACUUGAUGGGUUAGUUUAGCCCAAAAUGUGUUCUGUCCUAUAUUUACUUAGCCGUUAGGCUAAAGAUAACCCAAUUUGGGUUGUUUCUAACCCACUGUUUUUAGAGUGUAUGAGUUUCAGAGGUUCAAAUAAGAAUACAUAUACUUUCUUCAAAUUGCAAACUUUAUAAAAUUGUACAACCCCAAUUCCAAAAAAGUUGGGAUGCUGUGUAAAAUGUAAAUAAAUGUAAAUAAAAACAGAAUGCAAUUAUUUGCAAAUCUCAUGAACCCAUAUGUUAUUCACAAUAGAACAUAGAUAACAUAUAAAAUGUUUAAACUGAAGAAAUGUACC